GUAGGGAAUAUUCCGCAAUGGGCGAAAGCCUGACGGAGCAACGCCGCGUGAGUGAAGAAGGUCUUCGGAUCGUAAAGCUCUGUCAACAGGGACGAAACAAGACGGUACCUGAGAAGGAAGCCACGGCAAACUACGUGCCAGCAGCCGCGGUAAUACGUAGGUGGCAAGCGUUGUCCGGAAUAACUGGGCGUAAAGCGCAUGUAGACGGCAUGAUAAGCCAAAUGUGAAAUGUAGGGGCUCAACCCCUACACUGCGAUUGGAACUGUCAAGCUGCAGUGCAGGAGAGGCAAAUGAAAUUCCCAGUGUAGCAGUGAAAUGCGUAGGGAUUGGGAGGAACACCAGUGGCGAAGGCGAUUUGCUGGACUGCAACUGACGUUGAGAUGCGAAAGCCAGGGGAGCAAACGGGAUUAGAUACCCUGGUAGUCC
RNAcentral lists this ribosomal RNA (426 nucleotides) under uncultured bacterium. RNAcentral describes it as "partial 16S ribosomal RNA". It matches the Rfam family "Bacterial small subunit ribosomal RNA", at positions 354 to 796 of the family's 1533-position model. The record is from RNAcentral.